Molecule: ribosomal RNA, 460 nt
Filed under: uncultured bacterium
Lineage: Bacteria
Description: partial 16S ribosomal RNA
Rfam family: Bacterial small subunit ribosomal RNA
Source: RNAcentral
CCUACGGGAGGCAGCAGUGAGGAAUAUUGGUCAAUGGACGCAAGUCUGAACCAGCCAUGCCGCGUGCAGGAAGACGGCUCUAUGAGUUGUAAACUGCUUUUGUACGAGGGUAAAUCCCGAUACGUGUAUCGGGUUGAAAGUAUCGUACGAAUAAGGAUCGGCUAACUCCGUGCCAGCAGCCGCGGUAAUACGUAGGGAGCAAGCGUUAUCCGGAUUUACUGGGUGUAAGGGGGGCGCAGACGGCAAUGCAAGCCAGGAGUGAAAGCCCGGGGCCCAACCCCGGGACUGCUCUUGGAACUGCAUGGCUGGAGUACAGGAGGGGCAGGCGGAAUUCCUAGUGUAGCGGUGAAAUGCGUAGAGAUCAUACAGAACACCGAUUGCGAAGGCAGCUUACCAAGCUACUUCUGACGUUGAGGCACGAAAGCGUGGGGAGCAAACAGGAUUAGAUACCCCAGUAGUC